Molecule: long non-coding RNA, 1791 nt
Organism: Engraulis encrasicolus (European anchovy)
Lineage: Eukaryota; Metazoa; Chordata; Actinopteri; Clupeiformes; Engraulidae
Exons: 3
Source: RefSeq, a predicted model, not a curated record
GUGCGCAGCGGCAGCCUUCGCCGACAGCCCACUCAGGGGGCAAUGGGCAGGCCUCCAACCGCAGACUGUCAUGUAGUGGACUGGAGAGUAACCGUCCAAGAAGAACGUCCAUGUCCAUCCAGCCUGGCGUGACUCCAUCCUGGAUCAUAAUGCAGUGUCUGUGUAUGAUUAUGUGCAUGUGUACUUUGUUGAUGGUUAAUGUGCUGGGGGGCCUCUAGUGUGCGUGUGGUUGCGCUCGUUGGAUGCGCGUGCGAUGCGCGUGCUGGUGUGUGUGUGUGUGCGUGCGUGCGUGCGUGCUGUGUGUGUGUGUGUGCGUGCGUGCGUGCUUGUUGGGUGUGUGUGUGCGUGCGCGCUUGUUGGGUGUGUGCGGGGAUGUGUGCGAGUGCGGAGUGUCACCGGGACGGUGACCUUUUAAAGUGGGGGUGUAUGUAACCGGUGGUUAUCCUGAACUUUUAUUCUGACGGGGUAACGACGCUCCCCUUUUCCUUCCGGUGGGUAGCGUAUAUCAUUCCGGUGGUAACUAGCUAGCAAAGAGGCUAUGUUUUUGAUGCUGCAGAGUGUAGCGUGGGGUACACCGCUCUCUCUCUGGUUGAGCCAUCGUACAGGAAAGCCCUGUCCAUCGGCGGCUGGCGUGGCGUCGGCUGCUGUUCUGGGAUGGUGUGCUGAGCUGGGCAAACUCAAGUGUUACUCUAUCACAGUGUCGCUGGUGAUGUUCUUCCACUUUGUGUCCUGUGUGGUUGACUACUUGCAUGCCGCUUCGAGAGAACCAGAGGUAAUGCCGGCAUUUUCUGUAAGAGUUUCGACGCUUAGCACUUGACUUGUGUAGGGAGUUGUGUGGGGUGGGAGUGGGGGUGCUCCGCAGGUGUGAUGGCGGGACUGGCAGCGUGGUGCCUUUGAUAUCGCGCUGUGGUGUCGUGGUUGCACCUGUGGGAGCGCCCACAUUUCCACAAUACACAACUCCUGUUGAAUCGAGUUAUAAAUGCCGUGCCUAAUGGUAACUUUCUCGUUAAAUGUACAUAGGAGGAGAUGGUGCCUUCGACUACACUGAUGCAGUGUCACUAGAGAAGGGGGGCAUCACUGUUCUUUUCCCAACCUUUUGUUUUGUUUUGUCCUAUUGUGUGAGUGAUUAAUCCUGUGCAACCUUUUCAUUUUGACGUCCAAGACGAAGGGGCUUGUGUAAGUUUCACUCUAACAUCCGAGACGAAGGGGCUCGUGUAAGUUUCUACUUAGUAACCGCCAAGACGGAGCUUGUGUAUAUGAUUAGGGUAUGAACACUUAAGUAUUACUGGGAGACGUAUCUUAAAUCUCAGACUCCUUUUGGAACCUAUACUUGCUGUAGGGGGAGACCAAAGACGUGUGUCUAACAGGCUUGUGUGUGUGUGUGGUGACCAUUACAAAUCUUGCCCUUUUGGCAGUUUUUCUUUUUUACAAUUUGAUUUACUAACUUGUUUGCCGUGAUUUUUGUUAUUUGGUCUACCUCUCGUGCAACUAGCACAUUUGCACAAUUUUGUAGCCUAUAUUGAGAUGACGUGCCUAAGGAUACUGUUAAAGUUCAUAUUCUGAUUUGAUGUUUGACUGAGCCCGUGAGGCAUAUUUCCAGAUACAGAGACUCAUUACGAAAAGAAAGAAAAUAAAAAGAACUCUGAAUUGUAUGACAGUUGUAUCUCUUGUUAUUCAGUAACCUGUUGCGGGGAAAGUCAAAUCAAGUGUUUGAUGGUUGGGUUCUCUCACCCUAACAAAUGAGAGUGGCGUAGUCACUAAACAUCUUAAAAACAUCUAAAAAUAUAAAAA